RNAcentral lists this ribosomal RNA (470 nucleotides) under uncultured Pseudomonadota bacterium. RNAcentral's name for it is "bacterial SSU rRNA". It matches the Rfam family "Bacterial small subunit ribosomal RNA", at positions 355 to 818 of the family's 1533-position model. Lineage: Bacteria; Pseudomonadati; Pseudomonadota. The record is from RNAcentral.
UGGGGAAUCUUGCGCAAUGGACGAAAGUCUGACGCAGCGACGCCGCGUGAGCGAUGAAGGCCUUCGGGUUGUAAAGCUCUGUGGGGAGAGACGAAUAAGGUGCAGCUAAUACCUGCAUCGAUGACGGUAUCUCCUUAGCAAGCACCGGCUAACUCUGUGCCAGCAGCCGCGGUAAGACAGAGGGUGCAAACGUUGUUCGGAAUUACUGGGCGUAAAGCGCGUGUAGGCGGCUAAGUGUGUCGGGCGUGAAAUCCCAUGGCUCAACCAUGGAAGUGCACCCGAAACUGCUUAGCUAGAGUCCUGGAGAGGAAGGUGGAAUGCUUGGUGUAGAGGUGAAAUUCGUAGAUAUCAAGCGGAACACCGGUGGCGAAGGCGGCCUUCUGGACAGUGACUGACGCUGAGACGCGAAAGCGUGGGGAGCAAACAGGAUUAGAUACCCUGGUAGUCCACGCCGUAAACGAUGAGUGCUA